UGGGGAAUUUUGGACAAUGGGCGAAAGCCUGAUGCAGCCAUGCCGCGUGUGUGAAGAAGGCCUUCGGGUUGUAAAGCACUUUCAGCGAGGAGGAAGGUGGUGAGCUUAAUACGCUCAUCAAUUGACGUUACUCGCAGAAGAAGCACCGGCUAACUCCGUGCCAGCAGCCGCGGUAAUACGGAGGGUGCAAGCGUUAAUCGGAAUUACUGGGCGUAAAGCGCACGCAGGCGGUUUGUUAAGUCAGAUGUGAAAUCCCCGGGCUCAACCUGGGAACUGCAUUUGAAACUGGCAAGCUAGAGUCUCGUAGAGGGGGGUAGAAUUCCAGGUGUAGCGGUGAAAUGCGUAGAGAUCUGGAGGAAUACCGGUGGCGAAGGCGGCCCCCUGGACGAAGACUGACGCUCAGGUGCGAAAGCGUGGGGCAGCAAACAGGAUUAGAUACCCUGGUAGUCCACGCUGUAAACGAUGUCGAUUUUGGAGGUUGUGCCCUUGAGGCGUGGCUUCCGGAGCUAACGCGUUAAAUCGACCGCCUGGGGAGUACGGCCGCAAGGUUAAAACUCAAAGGAAUUGACGGGGUC
This 575-nucleotide ribosomal RNA is filed under the name uncultured bacterium. RNAcentral describes it as "partial 16S ribosomal RNA". It matches the Rfam family "Bacterial small subunit ribosomal RNA", at positions 355 to 920 of the family's 1533-position model. The record is from RNAcentral.